GUCGUAGUUUAGCAUCUAUCACAUUUGAUGUUGUUAAAUCAUAUGUGCGUAUCUUCCCAUCUUGGAAAUAUUAUACUGAAGAUCAAGGAAAAUGCCAGUUGCAGGUGUUUGUCCAGCAGUUAUGUGUAAGUAAUGUUAUUCAUGGCAAUUACUUUGCUUCGUCCCAUACAUCCUACCUCCAUGAUGGUUAUAAUACAUCAAAUUUUCCCAUUUUUCUCUAUACAGAAGGACCGAUCUGGAAACUCAGGAUGAGGUAACCUGUGCUAAUACCUCUGCUAUCUUCAAGAAUGCUUGGUGGCAGUAUCGGAAUUACCUGAAGAAAACGUACUUCACCAUCAAAGAAACUCAUCAAAUUCCCUUACGUUCUC
Molecule: ribosomal RNA, 368 nt
Filed under: Triticum aestivum (bread wheat)
Lineage: Eukaryota; Viridiplantae; Streptophyta; Magnoliopsida; Poales; Poaceae
Description: partial small subunit ribosomal RNA
Source: RNAcentral